CAAUGUGGAAAUUCGCCCUUGGCUCAGUAACACGUGGAGAACUUGCCCUAGGCUGGGGGAUAACGUCGGGAAACUGACGACAAUACCCCAUAGCCUCUCCGUCCUGGAACGGUGGAGAGGUGAAAGCUCCGGCGGCCUAGGAUAGCUCUGCGGCCUAUCAGGUUGUAGCGAGGGUAACGUCCUCGCUAGCCUACGACGGGUAUGGGUGUUGGGAGACAUCGCCCAGAGAUGGAUUCUGAGACACGAAUCCAGGUCCUACGGGACGCAGCAGGCGCGAAAACUGCACAAUGUGGGAAACCACGAUGCGGGAAACCCAAGUGCCAGCGCUAUGCGUUGGCUGUCCUCCAGUGUUCGUAACUGGGGAAGAAAGUGCUGGGUAAGACGGGUGCCAGCCGCCGCGGUAAUACCCGCAGCACAAGUGGUGGUCAUUAUUAUUGGGCCUAAAGCGUCCGUAGCUGGCCUGUUAGAUGCCUGGGUAAAUCGAUGCGCUCAACGUAUCGAACUCCGGGUAGACCGGCAGGCUUGGGACCGGGAGAGGCGUGAGCUACUCGGGGGGUAGGGGUAAAAUCCUGUAAUCCUCCGGGGAGGACCAGUGGCGAAGGCGUCACGCUAGAGCGGCCCCGACAGUGAGGGACGAAGCCCUGGGGCGCAAACCGGAUUAGGUACCCGGGUAGUCCAGGGUGUAAACGCUGCAGACUUGGUGUCGGUGAUCCUACGAGGGUUGCCGGUGCCGUAGAGAAGUUUGUUUAGUCUGCCGCCUGGGGAGUACGGUCGCAAGACUGAAACUCAAAGGAAUUGACGGGAAGGGCGAAUUCCACAGUG
This 822-nucleotide ribosomal RNA is filed under the name uncultured archaeon. RNAcentral's name for it is "bacterial SSU rRNA". It matches the Rfam family "Archaeal small subunit ribosomal RNA", at positions 67 to 890 of the family's 1478-position model. The record is from RNAcentral.